Molecule: long non-coding RNA, 548 nt
Filed under: Mytilus galloprovincialis (Mediterranean mussel)
Lineage: Eukaryota; Metazoa; Mollusca; Bivalvia; Mytilida; Mytilidae
Source: RNAcentral
UUUGCUUUGCAUCUUUAGGAUUGUGUUGAAAUCAAAAUAUAAAAAAAUCAACACACAACUUACCCCUUCUGAUGAAAGUUAAUGGUUGUUCCUGUAUGCAAAGACCAAAUUCUUCUUUUGUUAGAAGUCAAAGAUGUAGUAUGAACAGAUGCAGAAUGGGGGGGGGGGGGGGGGUUAUACCAAAAUAUUUCUUGUUCCUAUUUAUCAUUAAAAAAAAUGCUUGUUUUUUAUAAAAGUCUUAAAUGUCGCCUGUGAAAAAAAAAAUAACACUCUAUUUACAAACUGGUUAAGGUCAGUGUUUAAUUAUGUUCAUUGCUUCCUGGUCUGUGCCUAAGUAUGAUGCUGAUUUAUGGCCUUCUGAGGUCAAAUGCUUAGUCUGUGCCUUCUGAGGUCAAAUGCUUAGUCUGUGCCGUCUGAGGUCAAAUGCUUAGUCUGUGCCUUCUGAGGUCAAAUGCUUAGUCUGUGCCUUGUGAUGCCCAAUGCUUGGUCUGUACCUUUUGAUGUCAAAUGCUUGGUGUGUGCUUUUUGAUGUCAAAUGCUUGGUCUGU